UGUCGUGUCGAUAGCAUAGAGGACACACCUGUUCCCAUACCGAACACAGAAGUUAAGCUCUAUAGCGCCGAAAGUAGUUGGAGGAUCGCUUCCUGCGAGGAUAGGACGACGCGGUGC
Molecule: ribosomal RNA, 117 nt
Filed under: Leuconostoc litchii
Lineage: Bacteria; Bacillati; Bacillota; Bacilli; Lactobacillales; Lactobacillaceae
Source: RNAcentral